Taeniopygia guttata (zebra finch) is the source of this 174-nucleotide non-coding RNA. The record is from RefSeq and is a predicted model, not a curated record. Lineage: Eukaryota; Metazoa; Chordata; Aves; Passeriformes; Estrildidae.
CUGCAGGGGUUUAACAGCUGUGUGGAUGUGGCACUUGGGGACAGGGGUUAUUGGUGGUUUUGGUAUUGCUGGAUUAAUGGUUAGACUUGAUCCUUAAGGUCUUUUCCAACCUCAACAAUUCUGUGACUGUCUGAGUCUAGGAAGUCUGGGGAGAAGUGCUUAUAACAAGAAAAA